GAGUUUCAAGUAAAAGUAAGAGUUUAUAAUGAUAUGAUUGUGAUCAUGUGCUUAAAUUUGUAUUAGAUUAGCAGUUUGAGUUAAGAAGGGAAAUAAAGAUAGGAAGAAGAGGGAUUACAUAUGGAAUUUGAAGAGUGGUUCCGAAUUUUGGGUGUUUGUUAAGGGUUAAUGAACUUAGCAAUGUUUGAUAAAAGAUGAUAUAAACAUAGAAGGAAGAUCGGAUGAGGAAGAAGUGCAAGGAAUUAAGUGGAAUUUUUUGGCAACUCAGUGGUAUUUCUCCAUCAACAUUAAGCCUUGGCAAUGAUCGACUUAAGUAGUUUGUCUGGGGUAUUGAGUACAUCAUGUUUCAACAUAUAUUGGAAAUAAUGGACUU
RNAcentral lists this long non-coding RNA (373 nucleotides) under Phoenix dactylifera (date palm). RNAcentral's name for it is "long non-coding RNA (PDAC_LNC003517)". The record is from RNAcentral. Lineage: Eukaryota; Viridiplantae; Streptophyta; Magnoliopsida; Arecales; Arecaceae.